This 743-nucleotide ribosomal RNA is filed under the name uncultured bacterium. RNAcentral describes it as "bacterial SSU rRNA". It matches the Rfam family "Bacterial small subunit ribosomal RNA", at positions 75 to 813 of the family's 1533-position model. The record is from RNAcentral.
CUGCUUGCGCUGACGAGUGGCGGACGGGUGAGUAAUGUCUGGGAAACUGCCUGAUGGAGGGGGAUAACUACUGGAAACGGUAGCUAAUACCGCAUAACGUCGCAAGACCAAAGAGGGGGACCUUCGGGCCUCUUGCCAUCGGAUGUGCCCAGAUGGGAUUAGCUAGUAGGUGGGGUAACGGCUCACCUAGGCGACGAUCCCUAGCUGGUCUGAGAGGAUGACCAGCCACACUGGAACUGAGACACGGUCCAGACUCCUACGGGAGGCAGCAGUGGGGAAUAUUGCACAAUGGGCGCAAGCCUGAUGCAGCCAUGCCGCGUGUAUGAAGAAGGCCUUCGGGUUGUAAAGUACUUUCAGCGGGGAGGAAGGCGAUAAGGUUAAUAACCUUGUCGAUUGACGUUACCCGCAGAAGAAGCACCGGCUAACUCCGUGCCAGCAGCCGCGGUAAUACGGAGGGUGCAAGCGUUAAUCGGAAUUACUGGGCGUAAAGCGCACGCAGGCGGUCUGUCAAGUCGGAUGUGAAAUCCCCGGGCUCAACCUGGGAACUGCAUUCGAAACUGGCAGGCUAUAGUCUUGUAGAGGGGGGUUAGAAUUCCAGGUGUAGCGGUGAAAUGCGUAGAGAUCUGGAGGUAAUACCGGUGGCGAAGGGCGGCCCCCUGGACAAAGACUGACGCUCAGGUGCGAAAGCGUGUGGAGCAAACAGGAUUAGAUAACCCUGGUAGUCCACGCCCGUAAACGAUGUC